RNAcentral lists this ribosomal RNA (886 nucleotides) under uncultured bacterium. RNAcentral's name for it is "bacterial SSU rRNA". It matches the Rfam family "Bacterial small subunit ribosomal RNA", at positions 46 to 917 of the family's 1533-position model. The record is from RNAcentral.
GGAUUAGGCAUGCAAGUCGGACGGUAGGGCUUUAUCGUAAGAUAGAGUUUGAGAGUGGCGAACGGGUGAGUAACACGUAGGAAUCUACCCUUAAGACGGGGACAACCCAGGGAAACUUGGGCUAAUACCGGAUGAGAGUGCGAGAGAUUGCAUUUAAAAGGAUGGCGAAAGUUGUCGCUUAGGGAUGAGCCUGCGGUCUAUUAGUUAGUUGGUGAGGUAAGAGCUCACCAAGGCGAUGAUAGAUAGGCGGCCUUAACGGGUGGUCGCCCACACUGGGAUUGAGAUACGGCCCAGACUCCUACGGGAGGCAGCAGUCGAGAAUAGUCUACAAUGGCCGGAAGGCUGAUAGUGCGACGCCGCGUGAACGAGGGAGCCCUUCGGGGUGUAAAGUUCUUUUCUAUACGAGCAGUGCUAUAUAUAUGGAUAGUAUAUAUAGAGGGAUAGUAGUAUAGGAAUAAGCAACGGCUAACUCCGUGCCAGCAGCCGCGGUAACACGGGGGUUGCGAGCGUUGUCCGGAAUUACUAGGCGUAAAGGGCAGGUAGGCGGAUCUACGAGUUUUUUGUUAAAGGCUACGGCUCAACUGUAGUAGAGCAGGAGAUACUGUAGGUCUGGAAUGCGGUAGGGGAAGACAGAAUUCCUGGUGUAGCGGUGGAAUGCGCAGAGAUCAGGAGGAAUACCGAAGGCGAAGGCAGUCUUCUAGGCCGUAAUUGACGCUUAACUGCGAAGGUGUGGGGAUCAAACAGGAUUAGAUACCCUGGUAGUCCAUACAGUAAACGAUAAUCACUAGAUGUCGGGUUCUAGAUGGAUUCGGUGUCGGAGCCAACGCGAUAAGUGAUUCGCCUGGGGAGUACGAUCGCAAGGUUGAAACUCAAAGGAAUUGACGGC